Long non-coding RNA from Corylus avellana, 1569 nucleotides. RefSeq lists it as uncharacterized. NCBI's taxonomy places the organism in Eukaryota, Viridiplantae, Streptophyta, Magnoliopsida, Fagales, Betulaceae. The record is from RefSeq and is a predicted model, not a curated record.
GGAGAAAUGCGAGAGCAACACAACUAGGAGGGAAGCUCAAAGAAGAAAUGUGAGAGCAACACAACGUGGAGGAAGCUCAUUUUCAAAAAUUGAUACUCACAAAAGAAGAAAUGCGAUGGAGAAAUCAAACAGUCUUUCCACCUCAACAUCUCGGUCUCUUUCAAGGUAAAAAUCUCUUUUUCACUCUAUUUAUCCUUUCUGAUACGAUUCAACUCAACCAUAUUCCCUUGCUCCCUGGUUCCUCCCACUCCCUUUCCCGUGUGAACGUAACAAUGGAUUUUGUGAGGAGAAUCCAACUUUCCGACGAUCAGAAAUUUCUUAUGUCGUGUGAACGCUGCGAACGUGCGGUGACUGUUACGUGCUCUUUUUCUAAACGGGCUUGCAAGAUUGGGAACGGAGGAGGUUUUGUCGAUUUAAUAACUCUGAAAUGUUUCGGCGCCACCCCUACUGAGUUUUAUCUUGGCCACUCCGACGGAGUUUGUGUUUGGCCGUGGCCGGAAGGUUAGGGUGGUGAAUGGAGUUGUGUUGUGAAGGCGUAAAUAUCUCGGGAUUAUGGAUUCAUAAUUUGAAUGGACACGCUGCGGUUGUCCAGAAUGCAUCUGCUAAUUUUACUUAAAUAAAUGAAAGAAUGAGUUUUAAGUUUUAUUUUAUAAUAAUUUUUUUUUGUAUAUUUUUUAUCUGGCAAAUGGAGUUGUGUUGGCAAAUGGAGUUGUGAUGGAAGACUCAGAUUUCUCGAGAUUAUGGAUUCAUAAUUUUAAUGAACAUGCAGCGUUGGCUAGAAUGUAUUUUUGCCGCUUUUACCAAGAUAAAUAAAUGAAUGUGUGCUAAGUUUUAUUUUGUAAUGAAAACAUUUAGUAUUAGUUUUAAUAUAUUUGUCGUUUUUUUUUUUUGUUUUGUUUGGGUCUCCGUAAACUGAACUGUUGAUGUACUUUUAAUUUAAAGCUUUCGUUUGGCAGACUUUGUUAUUAUUUAAGUUAUUUGAGUAAUGUUAAUUUAAACGCCGUACGAAGCUUCACUGCUGAGCAUCCGAUCCGAUCCAGGGGUAACAGUCUCUCUCCUCCUUUGGUAGUCUGACCCCAGACCUGCUUUUUCGUUCUUCUUUUUUUGAUAUGUUUAUGUAUAGCUUCCUAGGAACUGAUAAUGUGCUGAGUGGCAUCGAUGAUUAUGAUCAUAAACAAUGCUAUUAAUCUUUAAUAUGUUCCUUUUUUUAGCUCAUUUAGUUUGUUUGUGUUUGUGGUUUUUUCUUUUUUCUCCCAAUUGUUUGAAUUUGUAAUUUGUAGGACAAGAAUUUAAUUACAGUAUUAAACUUUUUUUAUUUGCUAAUUUUGUAUGAUAAUUAAAAAUCUCUUUCAAAAUGCUUAAAAGAAUUUGCAGCUUGUUGGGGGAUGGCCGAAGAGCACAAGCUUCCGAAUUGGGUGGGUCAAGCGCUCCUCAUUUCUCAUCUUUCAUCUAAGAGUGGAGCUUGAUGGAAAAGAAAUAACACUAUAAAUGCACAUUCGCAAUGUAUAAAGCAUUGUAAUUUGUUUCCUUAUGCAAUCUGCAGUAAUAAAGUUAAAACAGUUUGAAGUU